GAUGAACGCUGGCGGCGUGCCUAAUACAUGCAAGUCGAGCGAACGGACGAGAAGCUUGCUUCUCUGAUGUUAGCGGCGGACGGGUGAGUAACACGUGGAUAACCUACCUAUAAGACUGGGAUAACUUCGGGAAACCGGAGCUAAUACCGGAUAAUAUUUUGAACCGCAUGGUUCAAAAGUGAAAGACGGUCCUGCUGUCACUUAUAGAUGGAUCCGCGCUGCAUUAGCUAGUUGGUAAGGUAACGGCUUACCAAGGCAACGAUGCAUAGCCGACCUGAGAGGGUGAUCGGCCACACUGGAACUGAGACACGGUCCAGACUCCUACGGGAGGCAGCAGUAGGGAAUCUUCCGCAAUGGGCGAAAGCCUGACGGAGCAACGCCGCGUGAGUGAUGAAGGUCUUCGGAUCGUAAAACUCUGUUAUUAGGGAAGAACAGAUGUGUAAGUAACUGUGCACAUCUUGACGGUACCUAAUCAGAAAGCCACGGCUAACUACGUG
RNAcentral lists this ribosomal RNA (497 nucleotides) under uncultured bacterium. RNAcentral describes it as "partial 16S ribosomal RNA". It matches the Rfam family "Bacterial small subunit ribosomal RNA", at positions 28 to 507 of the family's 1533-position model. The record is from RNAcentral.